Molecule: ribosomal RNA, 581 nt
Filed under: Lentzea sp. GR-13858
Lineage: Bacteria; Bacillati; Actinomycetota; Actinomycetes; Pseudonocardiales; Pseudonocardiaceae
Description: bacterial SSU rRNA
Rfam family: Bacterial small subunit ribosomal RNA
Source: RNAcentral
CUUACCUGCAAGUCGAGCGGUAAGGCCCUUCGGGGUACACGAGCGGCGAACGGGUGAGUAACACGUGGGUAACCUGCCCUGUACUCUGGGAUAAGCCUUGGAAACGAGGUCUAAUACCGGAUACGACACUGGAUCGCAUGAUUCGGUGUGGAAAGUUCCGGCGGUAUGGGAUGGACCCGCGGCCUAUCAGCUUGUUGGUGGGGUAAUGGCCUACCAAGGCGACGACGGGUAGCCGGCCUGAGAGGGUGACCGGCCACACUGGGACUGAGACACGGCCCAGACUCCUACGGGAGGCAGCAGUGGGGAAUAUUGCACAAUGGGCGAAAGCCUGAUGCAGCGACGCCGCGUGAGGGAUGACGGCCUUCGGGUUGUAAACCUCUUUCAGCAGGGACGAAGCGCAAGUGACGGUACCUGCAGAAGAAGCACCGGCUAACUACGUGCCAGCAGCCGCGGUAAUACGUAGGGUGCGAGCGUUGUCCGGAAUUAUUGGGCGUAAAGAGCUCGUAGGCGGUUUGUCGCGUCGGCCGUGAAAACUUGGGGCUUAACUCCAAGCUUGCGGUCGAUACGGGCAGACUUGAGUU